GAUGAACGCUGGCGGCGUGCCUAAUACAUGCAAGUCGAGCGAACGGACGAGAAGCUUGCUUCUCUGAUGUUAGCGGCGGACGGGUGAGUAACACGUGGAUAACCUACCUAUAAGACUGGGAUAACUUCGGGAAACCGGAGCUAAUACCGGAUAAUAUUUUGAACCGCAUGGUUCAAAAGUGAAAGACGGUCUUGCUGUCACUUAUAGAUGGAUCCGCGCUGCAUUAGCUAGUUGGUAAGGUAACGGCUUACCAAGGCAACGAUGCAUAGCCGACCUGAGAGGGUGAUCGGCCACACUGGAACUGAGACACGGUCCAGACUCCUACGGGAGGCAGCAGUAGGGAAUCUUCCGCAAUGGGCGAAAGCCUGACGGAGCAACGCCGCGUGAGUGAUGAAGGUCUUCGGAUCGUAAAACUCUGUUAUUAGGGAAGAACAUAUGUGUAAGUAACUGUGCACAUCUUGACGGUACCUAAUCAGAAAGCCACGGCUAACUACGUGCCAGCAGCCGCGGUAAUACGUAUGUGGCAAGCGUUAUCCGGAAUUAUUGGGCGUAAAGCGCGCGUAGGCGGUUUUUUAAGUCUGAUGUGAAAGCCCACGGCUCAACCGUGGAGGGUCAUUGGAAACUGGAAAACUUGAGUGCAGAAGAGGAAAGUGGAAUUCCAUGUGUAGCGGUGAAAUGCGCAGAGAUAUGGAGGAACACCAGUGGCGAAGGCGACUUUCUGGUCUGUAACUGACGCUGAUGUGCGAAAGCGUGGGGAUCAAACAGGAUUAGAUACCCUGGUAGUCCACGCCGUAAACGAUGAGUGCUAAGUGUUAGGGGGUUUCCGCCCCUUAGUGCUGCAGCUAACGCAUUAAGCACUCCGCCUGGGGAGUACGACCGCAAGGUUGAAACUCAAAGGAAUUGACGGGGACCCGCACAAGCGGUGGAGCAUGUGGUUUAAUUCGAAGCAACGCGAAGAACCUUACCAAAUCUUGACAUCCUUUGACAACUCUAGAGAUAGAGCCUUCCCCUUCGGGGGACAAAGUGACAGGUGGUGCAUGGUUGUCGUCAGCUCGUGUCGUGAGAUGUUGGGUUAAGUCCCGCAACGAGCGCAACCCUUAAGCUUAGUUGCCAUCAUUAAGUUGGGCACUCUAAGUUGACUGCCGGUGACAAACCGGAGGAAGGUGGGGAUGACGUCAAAUCAUCAUGCCCCUUAUGAUCUGGGCUACACACGUGCUACAAUGGACAAUACAAAGGGCAGCGAAACCGCGAGGUCAAGCAAAUCCCAUAAAGUUGUUCUCAGUUCGGAUUGUAGUCUGCAACUCGACUACACGAAGCUGGAAUCGCUAGUAAUCGUAGAUCAGCAUGCUACGGUGAAUACGUUCCCGGGUCU
Molecule: ribosomal RNA, 1372 nt
Filed under: uncultured bacterium
Lineage: Bacteria
Description: bacterial SSU rRNA
Rfam family: Bacterial small subunit ribosomal RNA
Source: RNAcentral